AUUGAACGCUGGCGGCAUGCUUUACACAUGCAAGUCGAACGGUAACAGGCCUUCGGGUGCUGACGAGUGGCGAACGGGUGAGUAAUGCAUCGGAACGUGCCCAGAGGUGGGGGAUAACGCAGCGAAAGCUGUGCUAAUACCGCAUGUGAUCUGAGGAUGAAAGCGGGGGACCAGGCAGCAAUGUUUGGCCUCGCGCCUUUGGAGCGGCCGAUGUCAGAUUAGGUAGUUGGUGGGGUAAAGGCCUACCAAGCCGACGAUCUGUAGCUGGUCUGAGAGGACGACCAGCCACACUGUGACUGAGACACGGCCCAGACUCCUACGGGAGGCAGCAGUGGGGAAUUUUGGACAAUGGGCGCAAGCCUGAUCCAGCAAUGCCGCGUGCGGGAAGAAGGCCUUCGGGUUGUAAACCGCUUUUGUACGGAACGAAAAGGCUCUGGCUAAUACCUGGGGCUGAUGACGGUACCGUAAGAAUAAGCACCGGCUAACUACGUG
Molecule: ribosomal RNA, 492 nt
Filed under: uncultured bacterium
Lineage: Bacteria
Description: partial 16S ribosomal RNA
Rfam family: Bacterial small subunit ribosomal RNA
Source: RNAcentral